GAUGAACGCUGGCGGCGUGCUUAACACAUGCAAGUCGAACGGGAAUUCUUUUAUUGAAACUUCGGUCGAUUUAAUUUAAUUCUAGUGGCGGACGGGUGAGUAACGCGUGGGUAACCUGCCUUAUACAGGGGGAUAACAGUCAGAAAUGGCUGCUAAUACCGCAUAAGCGCACAGAGCUGCAUGGCUCAGUGUGAAAAACUCCGGUGGUAUAAGAUGGACCCGCGUUGGAUUAGCUGGUUGGUGGGGUAACGGCCCACCAAGGCGACGAUCCAUAGCCGGCCUGAGAGGGUGAACGGCCACAUUGGGACUGAGACACGGCCCAGACUCCUACGGGAGGCAGCAGUGGGGAAUAUUGCACAAUGGGGGAAACCCUGAUGCAGCGACGCCGCGUGAAGGAAGAAGUAUCUCGGUAUGUAAACUUCUAUCAGCAGGGAAGAUAGUGACGGUACCUGACUAAGAAGCCCCGGCUAACUACGUG
Molecule: ribosomal RNA, 478 nt
Filed under: uncultured bacterium
Lineage: Bacteria
Description: partial 16S ribosomal RNA
Rfam family: Bacterial small subunit ribosomal RNA
Source: RNAcentral